GAUGAACGCUAGCGGCAGGCUUAACACAUGCAAGUCGAGGGGCAGCAUAAACAUUGCUUGCAAUGUUUGAUGGCGACCGGCGCACGGGUGCGUAACGCGUAUGUAACCUACCUCAAACAGGGGCAUAACACUGAGAAAUUGGUACUAAUUCCCCAUAACACCUUGGGAGGCAUCUCCUGGGGUUGAAAGUUCCGGCGGUUUGAGAUGGACAUGCGUUGUAUUAGCUAGUUGGUGAGGUAACGGCUCACCAAGGCGACGAUACAUAGGGGGACUGAGAGGUUAACCCCCCACAUUGGUAACUGAGACACGGGACCAAACUCCUACGGGAGGCAGCAGUGACGGAUAUUGGUCAAUGGACGCAAGUCUGAACCAGCCAUGCCGCGUG
RNAcentral lists this ribosomal RNA (385 nucleotides) under uncultured bacterium. Its description in RNAcentral is "bacterial SSU rRNA". It matches the Rfam family "Bacterial small subunit ribosomal RNA", at positions 28 to 403 of the family's 1533-position model. The record is from RNAcentral.